CUAGUUAAUUAAAAUGGACCGGAGUAGCAGAUUGCAUAAGAUUGAAUAAUAAAUUCCUCUAUGAUGGCCAAAUUAGUAGCGCUUAACUAUCUUUCUAUAAAGGCGUAAUGGCUUCCUGGGCACUUAAACUUGUAGGUCUUUUGAAAGCCAAUACACGAAUUUUGGAUUUUCCCAUUUGAACACUCCAACUUGACAAAAUGGGUACUAAUAAACACAUCCACCAGAGCGUGUAUAUCAAUUGCGCUGACAUGUACAACACAUCGUGCUAAGCUAUUUAUUACUUGCCCUGUGUUAUUUGUGGGUCCUAUUUUAAAUACAAAAUCAGAAAAAAAUAGUUACAAGUACAAAAAAGGAAAAGAAAAAAAAAACGCCUGAAACAUACCAGUAUUAAUCUGUACCCAACCGCCCCCUUCUUCUUCAUUCACCCUCCUCCCUUCCUUUCUUUACUCUUCUUUCUUCUCCUUUCUCUUUUUCUUCAUUAUUCUUUCUCUCUUAUUUCUAAAUCAAAUUUACAAUAUCACCAUGGCCAUGAUUAGACCAUAACCAAAAAAAAAAAAAAGAAUUUGGAAUUUCAAAAAAAAAAGACAGAAAUCCAUGGUUUUGAAAGUGGAGGUCGCCCAAUAUCAUUGCAAACUUGCCUUUUUUUGCUAUUUUGACAAAAAUGAAUUCGAUGAUAGAACAACGACAAAGCUCAAGCUUUCUUCCGACCACUUGUUGUUGAGGAAUGUUGGGACGGAAAUAGUGGGUGGAGACUAGAAAAAAUUAUUGAAGGGGAAGAUGAAGGGAAAAAAACAGAGAAAGGGGAGGGGGAAGAGAAACCAGGAUGAGAAUGAAAAAAUUGGGUGGGAGUUUUGCGGGGAAAACGAAAGAAUUGGAAGGGGAGGGGAAAAGAGAAGGGGAAAGGGAAAAGUCUUUUUUUUUCUUUUUCAUUUUUCUUUUUUAUUUAUAUUUUAUUCUAAUUCUAUUUUUUUUAAGUAAAAACAAUACUAUUCACGUGUCUUGGUAACGUGAUUUGCACACAGUUUAGCCAUGUCAGUUGCAGUGCUUCCACAUAGGCAUGAUCAAUGGUCAAAAGUAUUUAUUAAUACCCAUUUUGUCAAGUUUGAGUGUUCAAAUGGGAAAAUACAAAGUUCGUGUAUCGGCUUUCAAAAACCCUAUAAGUUUGAGUGGCCAGGAAGCCAUUACGCCUUCUAUAAACUACGUCUAUACAAACCGGUAAAAACUUACCCCUUCUCCCUCUCAAAUCCCUCAAUUUUUAACAUAUUCUUUUUUAUCUCCUAAAUUAACAUAAUUAAAUCCAAAUAACUUCUACUGUUACAUGGCUUGAUCAAAUCUGAAUUAGUAAAUUCGUUUUUUUGCAAGCUUGGAUGGACAGUAUUAUUUUUAAAUAAUUAAAUUGGACCAUAGUGGCACCAUUCCUCAAUGAAGUAAUCCAUAUGCUAGGUUGACCUUUAAACGCUUCUUAUUUUAAUACUUGGUCAUGUUCUUUUGCUAUUUUCUUUUGCGGGUUCCUCUAGGAUAUGCCCCAAAAUUCAAUACAGAGAUUUGAUUGAUGGGGUUCACUUGCAUAUUUGAGGUUCACAUGAACCCAUAUCCAAAUGGAAGUUAUGCGUUUUCCAGGCUCCUAGUGAUAAUUAAAGGUUUUCAAAUGAGUUGAGUGAUGUUAUGUUUUUCCUUCGAACGUUCUGGUAUUUGGACCAACUUAUACGUACUCUGGACUAAUUCUAUUUGCAAUUAGGUUUCUCUUAUUCAUGAUAGCACAACUACUUUGCUAGAGGCUUGUUGAGCUGAGUUUAUAUUGGUUUUGAGAACUAACAAACAUUUAUGAAAGAACCAGAUCCCUUGUAAUUCGUUGAUCAGAAGCUGAAAAUUGUUUCCUAGUACAAGUCGUUGGAUUAAGCUAAAAUUACACAAAGAUUCUGCCAACCUCACUCCAACAUAAAACAUCAUGUUACCUCUCUAUGGGGGUAACGCUUCGAACGUUAUUUUACACAAUCACAACAAAUUACCCUUGGCAAGUAGUAAUUUACAACAAGAAGGUGCUUUUAAGGAUUCAAGCUGUUCAACUGAAGAACCUUUUUUAGAAGACGAAGCUGCUAAGUUCUUUUGUUGUUUAGGCUGAGUUACUGUUCUUUAAAUUGUAAUAUAUUUGCUUUUGAGAAGUGUAAACGUAGAUUAUCAAGUUCUGAAGAGUUUGCUUAGCUUUCUAGGCUCGAGAGUUCAUAGUCUUGAAAUUAAAGAGGUGGUUACAAUUGAGUUGAUUGUAGGCGUUAAGGUACUAGAGGUAGUUCCUUUGGUUAUUAAUUGGAGUUAGUGAAGUUUUGAGGCAAAUCCCACGAAGGUAGGUCGUGCUUUUAUUCCUUUGAGCAAUGAGGUUUUUCAUAUAAAAUUGCUUGUGUACUUUAAUUUCAUGCAGUUUACUUUUAGUUUUGUAUCAGAAUAGUUAAGUCAAAGAACCAGAUUCUCUAACACGCUGACACAAUUUUCUCCCUCUUUUAUGUAUGUGCAAACUAAAAUAACAAGAUCGUGUCCUCCUUUAACCUGCUGGAGAAUUUUCUUUGAGAGGAAGCUUGAGGAUAUUGGCCAUCAUUGUUGAGGUUGAUCAUUGGGGACAUUGCUUUAGGAAUUCCCUGUAUUUUCUUUCUUGUUUCUCUUACAGAGAAAAGUAUCAUUAGCCUAGGUCGCCUAUCUCUAAAGGGCAAGAGUAGUGUCUUUCUGGUGGUAAUAAUUGCAAACUCUUCCCAUUUUGUCAUUUACACUCGCUUUGUGACACGGCAUAGAUGUUUGAAACCUACAGCUCCAUCAAAAUUAUCUAGUUACAUGCAUAGAACUCCCAAAUAUGAAGUUAGUCCUAGUAGUUGUUUCGAUUAAAGUAUAUAUAUUUGAAAGUACAAGAGGGGGGUGCAUUGUUUAUUUUAAAACUUAAUCGCUGUUAGUUGACUGGUUUUUCAAUUAGUCGACUAGAUGUAAUAACUAACAGUUGUAAUAACAGAAUAUAAGAUGCUGAAAUUAAAUGCCAGAAUUAAAGACACCAGAAUAUUUAUACUGGUUUGGAUUCAAUGUGAAUUCUAGUCCAAUCCCCUUGGGCUGCAAAGGAGGUCUCUUUAGUGAAUGAGUUUCUUCGAGUACAUCUGAAGGAAUGAAAGUAGCUGAUAUUAGGACGUUUACUUUUCCAUAGUUCAUAAGGAGUCUUCUUCAGAAUGGUUCUUAUAAGACAUCGGUUGAGAAUGUGAUAUGUUGUACUUACAUCUUCUGCCCAAAAGUGAUUCGGCAGUGAAUGAUCUAGUAACAUGGUUCUUGCCAUGUCUUGGAGGGUUAUGUUUUUCCUCUCAACAACCCCAUUUUGUUGAGGUGAUCGUGGUGCAGAGAAGUUAUGAGUGUAUUCCUGAUCAUUACAGAAGUCUUCAAAUGCUCUGCUUUCAAAUUCUCCUCCAUGAUCACUCUGGAUUGUUGUAAUUAGAUAUCCCUUUUCUCUUUCAACCUUUUUGCAGAAAAUCUCAAAAUUUCUCAAUGCUUCAUCUUUAUGAGAUAAGAAAAUCACCCAAGCGAAACGUGAAUAAUCAUCAAAAAUAACAAAAACAUAUCUUUUUCCUUCUAUAUAGUAGUUCUAGUAGACCCAAAUAAGUCCAUAUGAAGCAAUUGCAAAGGUUUAGAAGUAGAGACAAUAUCUUUAUUUUUGAAAGAGUUUCUGGUUUGUUUACCUAUUUGACAGGCAUCACAGAUAUGAGUUUUAGAAAAAUUCAGUUUGGGUAGACCAAUAACUAACACAUGCUUGGACAAUUUUUCUAUCAAAUGCAUGCUUGCAUGACCAAGUUUCCUAUGCCAUAACCAUGGAUCAUCAGACAUGGAUGUUAAGCAAAUGUGACCAUCUAUCUUUUCAAAACCAUCAAGAAUAUAAACAUUUCCAUACCUUUUACCUGGGAGGACUAUUUUACCUGUCUCGUCUUCAAUAGCACUGCCUGUUUUCUUAAAACUUACCUCAUAUCCUGAGUCGCAUAGUUGACUUAUGCUCAGGAGAUUGUAAUUGAGUCCAUCAACGAGAUAUACUUCAGUGAUAUCACAGUUGUUAUUGAAGGGAAUUAUUCCCUACCGAUUAUCUUCCCUUUUGAGUCAUCUCCAAAUUUGAUGCUUUCUCCAUCAAUUUUUGUAACUUCUUUGAACAGGUUUUUAUCACCUGUCAUGUGAAUGGAACACGCACUGUCUAAGUACCAUUUUCCUUUGCGGCUAAUUCUAUGGUGUUCCUGCAAAACAUAAUGAUUACUUUCUUUUUGGUACCCAAGCUUGCUUGGGUCCUGGAGGGUUAGUAUUACUAGGUUCAGAAAUGUUUUUUUGUUUCCAAACCCAUCCUGAAACAUUUGCUUUACGAAAGUGACAAAAAGAAUAUUUGUGUCCACUUUUGUUACAGUAGUGACACGUAACUCCUGACCCAUUUUUAGGUCUUUCAUUAGUGUAAGUACUAGUGGACUCUGUUCUAGAUGCUCCUUUUCCAGUUGACUUGUAAGUCGCCUGGUUUGAGCUGACAGAACUAUGACUAUUGGAUUUGCGCAUGCCAUUGAGUUGCAUUUGCAAUUCCUCAAACUGUUCUUGAAGUACUUCUUUUUCA
RNAcentral lists this long non-coding RNA (4603 nucleotides) under Nicotiana tabacum (common tobacco). RNAcentral's name for it is "long non-coding RNA (NTAB_LNC005363)". Lineage: Eukaryota; Viridiplantae; Streptophyta; Magnoliopsida; Solanales; Solanaceae. The record is from RNAcentral.